RNAcentral lists this ribosomal RNA (471 nucleotides) under uncultured microorganism. RNAcentral's name for it is "bacterial SSU rRNA". It matches the Rfam family "Bacterial small subunit ribosomal RNA", at positions 9 to 524 of the family's 1533-position model. The record is from RNAcentral.
GAGUUUGAUCCUGGCUCAGAGCGAACGCUGGCGGCAGGCUUAACACAUGCAAGUCGAGCGGGCGUAGCAAUACGUCAGCGGCAGACGGGUGAGUAACACGUGGGAACGUACCUUUUGGUUCGGAACAACUGAGGGAAACUUCAGCUAAUACCGGAUAAGCCCUAACGGGGAAAGAUUUAUCGCCGAAAGAUCGGCCCGCGUCUGAUUAGCUAGUUGGUGAGGUAAUGGCUCACCAAGGCGACGAUCAGUAGCUGGUCUGAGAGGAUGAUCAGCCACACUGGGACUGAGACACGGCCCAGACUCCUACGGGAGGCAGCAGUGGGGAAUAUUGGACAAUGGGGCAACCCUGAUCCAGCCAUGCCGCGUGAGUGAUGAAGGCCCUAGGGUUGUAAGCUCUUUGUGCGGGAAGAUAAUGACGGUACCGCAAGAAUAAGCCCCGACUAACUUCGUGCCAGCAGCCGCCGCGGUAAC